AGCUUGUUGGUGGGGUAACGGCCUACCAAGGCGAUUACGGGUAGCCGGCCUGAGAGGGCGACCGGCCACACUGGGACUGAGACACGGCCCAGACUCCUGCGGGAGGCAGCAGUGGGGAAUAUUGCGCAAUGGGCGAAAGCCUGACGCAGCGACGCCGCGUGGGGGAUGACGGCCUUCGGGUUGUAAACCUCUUUUACCACCAACGCAGGCUCGAAGUUCUCUUCGGGUUGACGGUAGGUGGGGAAUAAGGACCGGCUAACUACGUGCCAGCAGCCGCGGUAAUACGUAGGGUCCGAGCGUUGUCCGGAAUUAUUGGGCGUAAAGAGCUCGUAGGCGGCGUGUCACGUCUGCUGUGAAAGACCGGGGCUUAACUCCGGUUCUGCAGUGGAUACGGGCAUGCUAGAGGUAGGUAGGGGAGACUGGAAUUCCUGGUGUAGCGGUGAAAUGCGCAGAUAUCAGGAGGAACACCGGUGGCGAAGGCGGGUCUCUGGGCCUUACCUGACGCUGAGGAGCGAAAGCAUGGGGAGCGAACAGGAUUAGAUACCCUGGUAGUCCAUGCCGUAAACGUUGGGCGCUAGGUGUGGGGACUUUCCACGGUUUCCGCGCCGUAGCUAACGCAUUAAGCGCCCCGCCUGGGGAGUACGGCCGCAAGGCUAAAACUCAAAGGAAUUGACGGGGGCCCGCACAAGCGGCGGAGCAUGUUGCUUAAUUCGACGCAACGCGAAGAACCUUACCAAGGUUUGACAUCACCCGUGGACUCGCAGAGAUGUGAGGUCAUUUAGUUGGCGGGUGACAGGUGGUGCAUGGCUGUCGUCAGCUCGUGUCGUGAGAUGUUGGGUUAAGUCCCGCAACGAGCGCAACCCUUGUUCCAUGUUGCCAGCACGUAAUGGUGGGGACUCAUGGGAGACUGCCGGGGUCAACUCGGAGGAAGGUGGGGAUGACGUCAAGUCAUCAUGCCCCUU
This 962-nucleotide ribosomal RNA is filed under the name Nocardiopsis synnemataformans. RNAcentral describes it as "bacterial SSU rRNA". It matches the Rfam family "Bacterial small subunit ribosomal RNA", at positions 243 to 1203 of the family's 1533-position model. Lineage: Bacteria; Bacillati; Actinomycetota; Actinomycetes; Streptosporangiales; Nocardiopsidaceae. The record is from RNAcentral.